This 508-nucleotide ribosomal RNA is filed under the name uncultured bacterium. Its description in RNAcentral is "partial 16S ribosomal RNA". It matches the Rfam family "Bacterial small subunit ribosomal RNA", at positions 29 to 523 of the family's 1533-position model. The record is from RNAcentral.
AUUGAACGCUGGCGGCAUGCCUUACACAUGCAAGUCGAACGGCAGCGGGGGAGAAGCUUGCUUUUCCUGCCGGCGAGUGGCGAACGGGUGAGCAAUACAUCGGAACGUGCCCUGUAGUGGGGGAUAACUAGUCGAAAGAUUAGCUAAUACCGCAUACGACCUGAGGGUGAAAGUGGGGGACCGCAAGGCCUCAUGCUAUAGGAGCGGCCGAUGUCUGAUUAGCUAGUUGGUGGGGUAAAGGCCUACCAAGGCGACGAUCAGUAGCUGGUCUGAGAGGACGAUCAGGCACACGGGGAGAGAGACACGGACCAGACUCGUACGGGAGGCAGGAGUGGGGAAGUUUGGACAAUGGGCGAAAGCCUGAUCCAGCAAUGCCGCGUGUGUGAAGAAGGCCUUCGGGGUGUAAAGCACUUUUGUCCGGAAAGAAAAGGCUCUGGUUAAUACCUGGGGUCGAUGACGGUACCGGAAAAAUAAGGACCGGCUAACUACGUGCCAGCCGCCGCGGUAA